RNAcentral lists this ribosomal RNA (253 nucleotides) under uncultured bacterium. RNAcentral's name for it is "partial 16S ribosomal RNA". It matches the Rfam family "Bacterial small subunit ribosomal RNA", at positions 524 to 776 of the family's 1533-position model. The record is from RNAcentral.
UACGUAGGGUGCGAGCGUUCUCCGGAAUUAUUGGGCGUAAAGGGCUCGUAGGCGGUUUGUCGCGUCGGGAGUGAAAACCCAGGGCUUAACCCUGGGCUGGCUUCCGAUACGGGCAGACUAGAGGUAUGCAGGGGAGAACGGAAUUCCUGGUGUAGCGGUGAAAUGCGUAGAGAUCCGGAGGAACACCAGUGGCGAAGGCGACACGCUGGGCCAUACCUGACGCUAAGGCGCGAAAGCCAGGGGAGCAAACGGG